CCUACGGGAGGCAGCAGUGAGGAAUAUUGGUCAAUGGGCGCGAGCCUGAACCAGCCAAGUAGCGUGAAGGAUGACUGCCCUACGGGUUGUAAACUUCUUUUAUAAAGGAAUAAAGUGAGGCACGUGUGCCUUUUUGUAUGUACUUUAUGAAUAAGGAUCGGCUAACUCCGUGCCAGCAGCCGCGGUAAUACGGAGGAUCCGAGCGUUAUCCGGAUUUAUUGGGUUUAAAGGGAGCGUAGUAGGGUUGUUAAGUCAGUUGUGAAAGUUUGCGGCUCAACCGUAAAAUUGCAAUUGAUACUGGCAGCUUUGAGUACAGUUGAGGUAGGAGAAAUUCGUGGUGUAGCGGGGAAAUGCUGAGAUAUCACGAAGAACUCCGAUUGCGAAGGCAGCCUAAUAAACUGCAACUGACAUUGAUGCUCGAAAGUGUGGGUAUCAAACAGGAUUAGAUACCCCGGUAGUC
RNAcentral lists this ribosomal RNA (460 nucleotides) under uncultured bacterium. RNAcentral describes it as "partial 16S ribosomal RNA". It matches the Rfam family "Bacterial small subunit ribosomal RNA", at positions 338 to 795 of the family's 1533-position model. The record is from RNAcentral.